UACGUAGGGGGCAAGCGUUAUCCGGAUUUACUGGGUGUAAAGGGAGCGUAGACGGUUACGCAAGUCUGGAGUGAAAGGCGGGGGCCCAACCCCCGGACUGCUUUGGAAACUGUAUAACUGGAGUGCAGGAGAGGUAAGUGGAAUUCCUAGUGUAGCGGUAAAAUGCGUAAAUAUAUGUAAGAACACCGGUGGCGAAGGCGGCUUGCUGGGCCUGUACUGACAUUGAGGCACGAAAGCGUGGGGAGCAAACAGG
RNAcentral lists this ribosomal RNA (253 nucleotides) under uncultured Eubacteriales bacterium. RNAcentral describes it as "uncultured Clostridiales bacterium partial 16S ribosomal RNA". It matches the Rfam family "Bacterial small subunit ribosomal RNA", at positions 524 to 776 of the family's 1533-position model. Lineage: Bacteria; Bacillati; Bacillota; Clostridia; Eubacteriales. The record is from RNAcentral.